AGAAUCAACGCUGGCGGCGUGCCUAACACAUGCAAGUCGAACGAGAAAGUGGAGCAAUCCAUGAGUAAAGUGGCGCACGGGUGAGUAACACGUGACUAACCUACCCUCGAGUGGGGAAUAACUUCGGGAAACCGAGGCUAAUACCGCAUAAAACCUAAGGGUCAAAGGAGCAAUCCGUUUGAGGAGGGGGUCGCGGCAGAUUAGUUAGUUGGCGGGGUAAUGGCCCACCAAGACGAUGAUCUGUAUCCGGCCUGAGAGGGCGCACGGACACACUGGAACUGAAACACGGUCCAGACUCCUACGGGAGGCAGCAGUGGGGAAUUUGCGCAAUGGGGAAACCCUGACGCAGCAACGCCGCGUGGAGGAUGAAAUCCCUUGGGAUGUAAACUCCUUUCGAUCGGGAAGAUAAUGACGGUACCGGAAGAAGAAGCCCCGGCUAACUUCGUGCCAGCAGCCGC
This 458-nucleotide ribosomal RNA is filed under the name uncultured bacterium. RNAcentral describes it as "SSU rRNA". It matches the Rfam family "Bacterial small subunit ribosomal RNA", at positions 26 to 518 of the family's 1533-position model. The record is from RNAcentral.